UACGUAGGGUGCGAGCGUUGUCCGGAAUUACUGGGCGUAAAGGGCUCGUAGGCGGCCAACUAAGUCAUACGUGAAAUCCCUCAGCUUAACUGGGGAACUGCGUGUGAUACUGGAUGGCUUGGAUUUGGGAGAGGGAUGCGGAAUUCCAGGUGUAGCGGUGAAGUGCGUAGAUAUCUGGAGGAACACCGGUGGCGAAGGCGGCAUCCUGGACCAAUAUUGACGCUGAGGAGCGAAAGCCAGGGGAGCAAACGGG
This 253-nucleotide ribosomal RNA is filed under the name uncultured bacterium. RNAcentral's name for it is "partial 16S ribosomal RNA". It matches the Rfam family "Bacterial small subunit ribosomal RNA", at positions 524 to 776 of the family's 1533-position model. The record is from RNAcentral.